Molecule: non-coding RNA, 229 nt
Organism: Pelobates cultripes (western spadefoot toad)
Lineage: Eukaryota; Metazoa; Chordata; Amphibia; Anura; Pelobatidae
Source: the annotation of a GenBank genome assembly
CUCUCCAUGCUUUGUCAGUGUUGAGAAUUGUGUCUGGCCUCUGCCUCCACACCCCAUCCUACCCACUUCCCACUGGGAUACGGCAGCUGCGUGAGUUUACAAGGUUAACGUGCUGAUUCUGUUUGCAUGCACACCAUCUGAUAUCAGAAAUGUAUGUAGCUUGGGGGUGCAGAACCUCAGUGUCCCUGUUUUUUUCCCAGUUAUAGCUUUGCCCAGUGAGAAAGCAAUA